Stegodyphus dumicola is the source of this 73-nucleotide non-coding RNA. NCBI's taxonomy places the organism in Eukaryota, Metazoa, Arthropoda, Arachnida, Araneae, Eresidae. The record is from the annotation of a RefSeq genome assembly.
GCCUUCGUGGUGUAAUUGGAAGCAUACUCGACCCGUAUUCGAGAGGCCCAAGGUUCGAGUCCUGGCGAGGGCA